Molecule: long non-coding RNA, 7939 nt
Filed under: Olea europaea subsp. europaea
Lineage: Eukaryota; Viridiplantae; Streptophyta; Magnoliopsida; Lamiales; Oleaceae
Source: RNAcentral
GCGCGCUUUCUACCCUAAGAACUUGAGAAAAUCAAAUCCUAAAUCCUUCCUUGCGUUAAUUUCUCCUCAUCUCCAUCUCUUGUUCACGCGGUUGACCAAGGGAUUCUGUGAAUUUCUCUGCAUAUCGUUGCUUAUUUCUCCUCAGCUCUAUCUCUCUUUCAGUUUGGAGGAUUUUGUGAAUUUCUUUGCCUCUGCAUCUUUCUGUCGGUCUAGGUAAUUUUGUUUCACAAAAAUCCCCCAAAUAACAAUGAAUUCAUCCCAAAUUUUCAUCUCUCAUUGAUGAUUAUGUAUUUCUCUUUUUCUGCAGAUUUUAUUUUUUCAAUUGUGGAAGGGAAGUGUUGACGGAUAUACGGUUUGAAUCGGGAAAUUGGUGGAAAUAGUUUCUUCUUCGCAUCCUUGGGAAGGUAUUUCUUCUUUUUUUGAUUCUGCAACUCUGGGCAGUAAACUCUGUUUUAGGCUUGACGUGAGAUUGUUCUUGCGGCUUCGGGUGUGAAAAAAUAUUAUGUAAUUAUUUCACAUAGUGGAAUCAUUGGAUUGAGGGUUGUGUGAUGCAUCUAUAAGUCUGUACCCUUUUUCUUGUUCACAGUCAGUUGAAGCAGAUUAUGUUUCUACAAUAUCAGACUUUAAUUUUCAGGUUUAUAUGUUAAACUUCUGUAAUCAUAGAGAAGAGAUUUUCUUAGCAGAACUUGUGGAUGAUGUUAGACAUGGUCUCCUCAGUUCUUUGAGAACAUUAAAAUAGGCAAAACCAUUUGGAUUACAUUGUAUAAUCCGCGAUUUGAGUAUUUUCUUGAACUGCGAGAUAGAUAAUUGUCUAUAUAGUUUGCAAUCUAUCAAAUCAAUUCUAGGUAAGAGUUUAUUCUUCUUAUUGAAUGUGAUUUAGGAUAAAAAUUUUCACGCCCAAAACAAUUGGGUUAAAUCUUCCUGCACUUACAAAUGGGGUUUAUAUUUCCCAUGGCUGUUAAUGCUGUUGACCAAAGAGCAUUCUAGCAUGCAUUACUUCCCCCGAAAAAUUUCACGAUGCCAUUGUUAGACUGAGUGGAGACUAUGCUGUUAUCCAUGAAUGAAUUCUCGGAAAAUGUUUGACUUGAUGUAGUCGAACUAUUGUCCAGACCACCCUGAUGAAGUGGAAAUGGGAAGCGGAUGUUAGCGCUCGAUGUUUGAGAGUAAAGUAGGCUAUGAAAGCCCAUAGUUUUGGUAAUUAGGUUGGAAAAACUUUCAAUUUGUGCUUCUUGCUGGAAUCCAGGAAAUCCAACGUGAAUUUUUUCAUUAAUGAUUCUCCUGCCUCUAUUUCUGAGCUUGGUUUAUUCAAGGCUGCUGCUGGUUGAAUCAUUGAAAGGCAAACUCAAGUAUGAUGAAGAAACUAUUUGAUCUGAAUCCUCUGCCUUUUUUGUAGGUAAUCAUGAACUUUUCCCUUUGUUUGGCUGCUUUGUUGUAGUCGCUUCAAGAACUUGGUUGUGGUUUACGCCCUCUUCAACUACUUUUGGAAAUUCAUUUGUAUUAGAAGCCACAUUUAGAAUAGGUUCAUCUAUGAAGAGGUGAUCAAAAUUAACAUGCCUCCAUCUGUCAAUCUUCAAUUUAUUCUUAGGAUCUUUUGCAUGUUCAUCAAAAGCAUCUUUGUAACUCCCUUUUUGCUUCCUAACAUCAGAAGGUUCCACAUUAUAGAAUACAGGAUAAAUCUGUUGGCCAAAUUUCUGAUUACAUUCAACGAUUUUAGCAAUCUCUUCUAAGCACCAAGUGGAAUCGGCAUAGUUUUCUGAGAAGAUAACGAGGGCAACUUUGGAUCUUUCAAUGGCAUUUUGGAGUAGUGGGGAAAUGGAACUUCCUCUCUUGAGUUUAAUAUCGUCUUUGAAUGUGAGGAAUUGUGUUGUCUUUGGUCAUAAAUAUUAAUAAAUUUUAUUUUGUUCAUAAAUGUUAAUGAAUUUUAAAUUUCAAAAUUAAAGGUAAUUUUAAAUUUCAAUUUUCCAAUUUCCCCCAACAAUUACCAUCAUGGUUUACAAUUCUUUAUUAAUUCCAUUUCUUAAGAAAUUAGUUUAUGAUUAGCUGAAGUCCAAUUCUCAUAUUUUUAAGAGUCUCCAAGUGGAAUCUAGAAAAAUAAUUAAAUAAAUCAAAUAAAAGCAACAGUGAUUAUUGAUUAAAAUUGUGUUAAUCGUGAUUAUAAUUUUUUUUAAUCAUGUAAGCGCGUUUCGGAUGUACCUUGGAUCUACUUGAGAUGUCUUUGCCCAUAUGCAUACUAUUUAGGAAAUGGUGGAAUUUGAAGAUUUAUUAUCUUAUAAGAAAUGAAUAAAUUGAGGAUUUUAUCACUGAACAAAAGGGAGAAGACCAAUGAAUAUAAGUAUUAAAAAACUUUUUGUAUUUAAAAUAACAGCAUCUGUGAAUAUUUAGUCAAGUGAUAUUUUAGAAGUUUCCUUAGAUUUUGUCUUUGUUGUGUAGUACUAAAUAUUGUUGAAUAUAAGAUUAAAAUGUCCCAUUUCAAAUAUAGGUAUACUCAUAUAUACUACUAGGAUAAUAUUUGGGUUUCCACAAAUUAUGGAUAAAGAAUGGGUACGUCUUAACAGGUAAUUUGUACAUUGUCAUGUAAUUUACAUACUUUAUAUUUUAAGAUAAUAUCCUAAAAUAUUGUCUUUUAAAAUUAUUAGGGCCUCAUAGAAGUAUAUAAAAGCUUCAGAAAAUUUUGUCAUUACUGCUCAUCAUAAUUUAGGCAAACCAGAUAAAAUUUUAUGUCCUUGUAAAGGUUGUCGAAACUUAAGCCAUCAAUAUAUAAAUAUAGUUCACGAGCAUCUGGUCAUAAGAGGAAUGGGUCCGACUUACACAAAUUGGUUUCACCAUGGAGAAAGACUGAUUUGUAAUGUUGAUACUACAAGUAAGAUUGAAGUAUUCAACUUGUUUGAAGCUGCACAUACAAAUGAAGAACAUAACAAGGAAGUUUUUGAAGAGAAUUUGGAUGAUGACAUUAGUCGAUUGGUAAUGGAUGCUGAAACUCCAUUGUAUCCAGGAAAUGAAAAAUACACGAAGCUAUCUUCAAUUGUGACCUUAUAUAAGCUUAAAACUAUUAGUGGUUGGUCAGAUAAUAGCUUUACAGAACUUCUAAAUACAUUACAUGAUAUGUUACCUGAAGGUAAUGUAAUUCCUACAUCCACACUAUGUGUAAGAAAAUUGCUUAAGACAUUUGAUUUAGGAUAUGAGAAGAUUCAUGCACGUGUCAAUGAUUGUUGGUUGUUUAGAAACGAUAAAAAUGAACUAGAUAGCUGUCCAAAGUGUGGUUCUUCGAGAUGGAAGGUCGAUAAGCAGACACGAAAGAAUAAAAAUGUUGUACCUGCUAAAGUCUUCAGAUACUUUCCUAUAAAACCUAGAUUCCAGAGGACGUUUAGUACAUCGAAGAUGGCUGAAUCAUUAAUAUGGCAUUCAACCAAUCAGAGUGUUGAUGGUAAAAUGCGUCAUCCAGUGAAUUCUCCAUCUUGGGCUUUAAUUGAUAACAAGUGGCCAGAUUUUGCAAAUAAUCCAGGCAGUCUUAGGCUUGGGCUUGCUACGGAUGGUUUCAAUCCAUUCAACAAUUUUAGCUUUACCUAUAGUUGUUGGUCAGUGGUGAUGGUUAUUUAUAAGCUACCACCAUGGUUAUGUAUGAAAAAAGAAAAUGUAAUGUUGUCAUUGUUAAUUCCAGGGCCUCAAUAGCCUGGGAAUGAUAUUGAUAUAUAUUUGCAACCACUUAUAGAUGACUUGAACGAAUUGUGGAAUAUUGGGAUGAAUGUGUAUGAUGCACACACUAAUGCAGCCUUCAACUUGAGAGCAAUACUUAUGUGGACUAUUAAUGAUUUACCAGCUCUUGAAAAUUUAGCUGGAUGUAAAAUUAAGGGUAGGACAGAUUGCCCUAUAUGUUCUCAGAAUACUCAUUCACAGUGAUUAAAAUUCAGCAGAAAAUUUGCAUACAUGGGUCAUAGGAGAUUUUUGUCACCAUUUCAUCCGUUAAGGAAAAAGAAAUCUUGGUUUGAUGGACAUGAAGAAAAGGGAAGCAAACCUAAAAUUAUGUCUGGUAGCAACAUUCUGGUUACUCUUAAAAAUUAUGUCAACAAUUUUGGGAAAGCUCAGAAACGAAAAAGAAAGACAAAUGAUGGGAGCAUGCUAACAUGGAAAAAGAGAUCAAUCUUUUUAAACUUACCAUAUUGGGAGGUAAGAUUUUGGCAUUCUCCAACUUUUAUUCAAUUAUUUGAAUAUACUUUUUGUAUGAAACUAACAAAAUCUUUUUCCUUUGUUACAUUAUUAGGUGCUACCAUUACGUCAUAAUUUGGAUGUAAUGCACAUUGAGAAAAAUGUAUGCGAAAGCAUUGUUGGUACAUUGUUAGAUAUAAAUGGUAAAACAAAAGAUAGAUUAAAUGCUCAUAAGGAUUUACAAGACAUGGGAAUUAAGAAGGAGUUACAUCCAGAGGACCGAGGUAAUAGAAUAUACCUUCCUCCUGCUCCACAUAUGUUGUCAAGGUUAGAGAAACAAACAUUUUGUAAGAGGUUGUUUAACUUGAAAUUACCUGAUGGGUAGAGUUCAAAUGUAGCCACUUGUAUGUCAGUAGAUGAAUACAAAAUGAUUGGCCUCAAGUCACAUGAUUGUCAUGUCCUCAUGCAACAACUUUUGGCUGUAGCAUUAAGAGGAUUACUUCCAAAAGGACUGAGACAUGCAAUUUUUAGACUGUGCACAUUCUUCAAUAGAUUAUGCCAACGUGUUGUUGAUAGAGAGAAAAUAGCAAUAUUAGAAGAUGAAGUAGUUGAAACCUUAUGCAGUCUUGAAAGAUUCUUUCCUCUUGCAUUUUUUGAUAUCAUGAUACAUCUGGUGGUACAUUUGGGAAGAGAAGUACGAUUAUGUGGUCCAGUUCACUAUUGUUGGAUGUAUCCUUUUGAGAGGUGAGAAAUUCACUAUUACUUGGAUAAAUUUACACACAUAAUUUCAUUCUUAGUACUAAUUUGUUUACUUUGUUUAAUUAUAGACAUAUGAAGAUAUUCAAAGGACAUGUGAGAAAUCGUGCACGACCCGAAGGUUACAUAGCUGAAUGUUAUCUUGUAGAUGAGUGCAUGAAUUUUUGUACCGAGUUUAUGAAAUAAGUAAGAGAAAUUGGUCAUCGAGAGGGGCGCAAUCAAGAUUAUGUUAGCAAUGAAAUUACUGAGGGACGUCCCAUUUCUGCUCCAAAUUUUAUUACACUAAGUAAUGAAAAGUUAGAGUAGCACAUCGUUAUGUAUUAUUCAAUACAUCUUAUGUGGAACCUUAUUUGGAGUAAGUCAUCCACUUUUCAUAUUAGUAAGUGUAGAACAUGUAUAUAAAUUUGUAAUCUUUGAUAACUUGCUUACUAUUAGAAUGCAUAAAGAGGAGCUCAAGUGAAACAAUAGAAGCCUUGAAAAAAAUGAAAGCUUGCUUUGGAAAAUUCACAUGGAGAACUUUGCAGUUUGGUUAAAGGAAAAGGUUGUAUGUAAUGUUAAAAAAUUCUUAUCUUCUCAUUAUGAUACUAUAUAUUUACAUCACUGAUACAUGUCUAACUUUUUUCGCAGAUUAAAGUAGGUUCCACCAUAAGUGAAAUAUCAGAUGUUCAGAAAUGGUUGGCAUAUGGUCCUAAAAUGCAAGCAGUCUCCUACACUGGAUAUAUUAGCAAAUGACAACGUUUCCACAUAAAAGAUGUUGAGAAAUCUACACAGAAUAGUGGUGUAUCAAUUGAAGCGACAACCAUGUGUAGAGCUAGUGCAAUAGAUAAUGCACAAGUUUAUGAUGUUGUUGCAUUUUAUGGAGUCAUUAGAGAAAUAAUUUUAUUAAAUUACCACAUAAUGAAGAUUCCACUCUUUAAGUGUGACUGGGCAAAUGUUGGUAACAGGGUGAAAGUGGAUGAUUGUUUUACACUUGUUAAUUUACACCAAGGUCAAAAUAAUUUUCUAAAAGAUCCUUUUAUUUUAGCAUCACAGACCAAACAAGUGUUUUAUUCAAGAGAAAAUGAUUCCUCUAACUGGUACGUGGUUUUGAAAGCACCACCUUGAGGAUUUCAUGAUCUAGAAAUGUAUGAUGAGGAUGAGGAAGUCAACGUUAGAAAUAAUGUUUCAUUGAACAUUGAUUAUGUGAACGAGGAAAUUAGCUAUGUAAGAGGGGAUUGCGAGGGUACUUUAAUUUGACGAUUGUAAAUUUUAGUUCAGAAAUAAAAAGAUCCUUUUGUAUUUAGUUUUAUUUGCGUUUUUCUGUCGCCUUGCAAUGAUGAGUAUUGUUUAUUCAUUUUUUAAUGUCAUUUUUUGAAAUUUUGACAUAGAAUGCUAAUCAUGAUUUUUAUAGUUUCUUAAAUAGGCUGGAUAUCAUGGUGAAUAUCAGAAAAAAGGUUGUUGAUGAUUCCAAAGCUCCACGUAAAAAGAGAUUAGUACGAAAAACUACACAUGGACAACUUAAAGUAGCCAACACAUUUCAACAACAUUUUAACUCUCUGGAUGUUCCUACUAGUUCUUUCUACAGCAUGAAUAUGCAUAAGGAUCUCAUGAAAAAAAUAUUAUUCACUUGUUGAUUUACCAAAAAACUGUACAGUGAGGUCCAUCACUAACACAUUUACAGAUGAGGCAUCACAUGAGGUUACCCCAGAAGAUGAUGUAGACAUGAGUGGUAAUGAAAACCAAAGAACACAUGUGGAAGAUGCGAGUCUAUUGCAACAAAAUGUUACACUUCUGAAGGAGAGACUCAACAAGUUCAAAAGAAGAAGAAAGGCCCUACCCAAAUGAAGAAUUUGAACGAAGUCAUUGCUCCAAUUGAAGUAAAGUUUAAUGAAAUGGGACAAUCACUAUCUGUCACUUUAUCUUCGUUUCUGGGCCGUCUUGUGAGGGAGACUGUACCAUAUACUCUUGUUGACUGGCGAUACCUUUCAGAUGAUAUGAAACUUGUUAUGUGGAAAGAUAUUCAGGUACAUCCUUCAAAAUAAUUCGACGUUAUAUAAUAUAACGUAAUAAGUAUUUGAUAUUGUAUAAAAUUGAAAAUUUAUAACUUGCAGCAAAGGUUCAAAGUAGAUGAAGAAUGGCAAAAAGACUACAUUUUCAAAGAAAUGGGUGGUCUCUGGAGAGCGUCGAAGUCUCGACUUGUGAAAAAGAUUAGAGAAGCACCAAAUGAAGCUGAAAGAAAGAAACUCAAACCUCAUCAUAUACUUAAACCCCAGUAAUGGAAGAAGUUUGUGAAGGAAAAGACGAGUACAGAAUUUAUGGUAAAUUCUACCUUUUCCCUUUUUUUAGAUCAAAUUUAUCUAAGCUAUGAUUAAUUAUCAAUAAACUUAUAUAAGUUUGGAAAUAUGAUUGUUAGGCUAAAAGCCAAAGAUUUAGAGAAAUUCGAGAAAAACAAAUCCCCCACACAUGCAGUCGUAAGGGAUUUGCCAGAUUGCGUGAAGAUAUGGUAACAUUCCACAAGCCUUCUUUAAUUUGACUAAGUCAAUCAUUUGCUCUAGAUUCUUAUCAUAUAAUUCUUCACUCUCUUAGCAAAAGAAGAGCAGCAAUCCAUCUUCUAUAGGUCCCAAGAAGGUUUGGGCAGCAGCAAAUAUAAAAAAGAAUGGUGAACCUAUAUGCAAACUUGUUGAAGAUACGCUUGUAAGUAUAAAUAAUUUAUUUUUCCUAGUUCUAUAUAUGCGCGCAUGCAUGUGUGUGUGCGCAUAUAUGUAUAUAUACACUUAUAUAUUGUCUUUUUAGGAAAAAUUGAAAGAUGCGAGUCCGCAUGCCUCUAACACUAACAUAAAAGAAGAUGCUCUUUCUAAAGUACUUGGUUCAAAGAAUACUGGACGAUUACGAGGGAUUGGAGGUGGAGUUUGCUAUACAAAGUAUUCCAUAUUAACUCAAAGGGAGUCUACUGUAGCUCAUUUAAAGGAAGAACAAAUCAUCUAAAGGUUCAAGUGGCAGAUAUGGUGAAAACAAUCAAUGACUUAUUGAAAAAACAGGUUAGUAAGUUCCAUUCAGUGAA